RNAcentral lists this ribosomal RNA (422 nucleotides) under uncultured Puia sp. RNAcentral's name for it is "bacterial SSU rRNA". It matches the Rfam family "Bacterial small subunit ribosomal RNA", at positions 355 to 774 of the family's 1533-position model. Lineage: Bacteria; Pseudomonadati; Bacteroidota; Chitinophagia; Chitinophagales; Chitinophagaceae. The record is from RNAcentral.
UAAGGAAUAUUGGUCAAUGGACGCAAGUCUGAACCAGCCAUGCCGCGUGGAGGAUGAAGGCCCUCUGGGUUGUAAACUUCUUUUAUAGGGGAAGAAACCGGACUUUUCUAAGGCCGUUGACGGUACCCUGUGAAUAAGCACCGGCUAACUCCGUGCCAGCAGCCGCGGUAAUACGGAGGGUGCAAGCGUUAUCCGGAUUCACUGGGUUUAAAGGGUGCGUAGGUGGGCAGGUAAGUCAGUGGUGAAAUCUCCGGGCUUAACCCGGAAACUGCCGUUGAUACUAUCUGUCUUGAAUAUAGUGGAGGUGAGCGGAAUAUGUCAUGUAGCGGUGAAAUGCUUAGAUAUGACAUAGAACACCCAUUGCGAAGGCAGCUCGCUACACUAUCAUUGACACUGAGGCACGAAAGCGUGGGGAUCAAACA